Molecule: long non-coding RNA, 378 nt
Organism: Cavia porcellus (domestic guinea pig)
Lineage: Eukaryota; Metazoa; Chordata; Mammalia; Rodentia; Caviidae
Exons: 3
Source: RefSeq, a predicted model, not a curated record
CACACCCAGCCUGGUGCUCCCAACAGGCACAACUUCUGAAGCUCCAACACAGUUUUUCUGGGCACAGAAAAUGGGGUUAGGAACUGCUCCAGUUACUUGUGCACGAUGAUGAAGUUAGGGACCAGGCUACCUUCUACUUCUGUUACAAAGACAGAGAAGAAAAAAAGGAGAGAGCAUGAUGGUGAAAACAUCAUUUCCUGAAAUAUUUUCAAGUUGCCCCACCUUCCGGAUUGAAGGUUCCUGAUUGACAGCACCUCCUGAAUAUUCAAAGGACAUGCAGAAACACAUUUUAAUUUGAUCUAAUUAGUGACAGAUGAUGGCUUUCCUUUUUGAGAAAUUGGCUUAAAGCAGUAACAGACCUUGUGGUAAUGAUUCUUA